This is a long non-coding RNA of Bos taurus (domestic cattle), 1115 nucleotides long. Lineage: Eukaryota; Metazoa; Chordata; Mammalia; Artiodactyla; Bovidae. The record is from Ensembl.
GUUAAUGGCUCCUGCUUCUAUUCCUGAAAUACAAAUUUCCAUAGUAUUUUUCCCCAAGACUCUCCAGCCACACAAAAAAAACUGUGUAAUAGCCCAAAACCUAAUGUCAGGAAAGCCAAGUUUAGCACAUUAGGCUCUUGACUCCUUCUGAAAUUUACUGAUAAGCACUAACUCUCCUGCACCACGCUACCAAACUGGGGUUACUUUUCUGUCUUCUUUGGGUGUACAUUCAGAGGCCCACACGAAAUCCAUCACAGCCCUUUCUCCAGGACAAGCUGGUUCUUGAUGUGUUAAUUCAACAAACGACAGUCUCUAGCGACUGACCGGACCCCCCGACAGCCUCUCACCCUUGAGAGGCUCACCAGGCUGGGAGCUGCCUGUGUACCACCACUGUGUCUCCACCUGGUGAGGUCCACACCAUCCCAGGAGCGUGCAAGGAAGAGCCUGGCCUCAUCUCUUCCCACACAGAGUAGGCACUGCCCCCUGCUGGCUGCACCAGGUUGAGGGGGGCAGUGGCAGCCGCCCCGGAAGAGGCUGCUGCUUUCCCACUGGCCUGCGACUCAGGAGAGGUCAGUGGGCCUCACUGCCCGCUUCUCACUUCAGGUAUGCGAUGCCCACAUGCCCACUGGUUCAAUCACAUUCUCCAAGAUCCACUUCAGUUGGGACCAAAUACUGCAUUUCUCUUUAUGCAUCUUUCUCCUCCCCUCUCUCCAUUGGUUCAGAACUUGGCCAGGAAAGAGGGGUUUAAUUUGGGGGGCUCCCUUGGACCCUAGUUUGUACUGUGAAAAGAAAGUGAAAGUCCCUCAGUCGUAUCCCACUCUUUGGGACCCCAUGGAGAAGUCUCCAGACCAGAAUAUGGGAGUGGGUAGCCUUUCCCUUCUCCAGGGGAUCUUCCCAACCCAGGAAUCAAACCCAGGUCUCCCGCAUUGCAGAAGACUCAGGAGACCUGGGUUCGAUCCCUGGGUGGGGAGGAUCCCCUGGAGAAGGGAAUGGCAACCCACUCCAGAUUCUCGCCCAGAGAAUCUCUUGGACAGGGGAGCCUGGCGGGCUACAGUCCAUGGGGUUGCAAAGAACAGGACACAACAGAGCGAAUAACACCUGGCUCAGCUCUCAGG